GCGCUGCUAGCUCAGCUGGAUAGAGUAACUGGCUACGAACCAGUAGGUCAGGGGUUCAAGUCCCUUGCAGCGCGCCA
Molecule: transfer RNA, 77 nt
Filed under: Bacillota bacterium
Lineage: Bacteria; Bacillati; Bacillota
Description: tRNA-Arg
Rfam family: tRNA
About the family: Transfer RNA (tRNA) molecules are approximately 80 nucleotides in length. Their secondary structure includes four short double-helical elements and three loops (D, anti-codon, and T loops). Further hydrogen bonds mediate the characteristic L-shaped molecular structure. tRNAs have two regions of fundamental functional importance: the anti-codon, which is responsible for specific mRNA codon recognition, and the 3' end, to which the tRNAs corresponding amino acid is attached (by aminoacyl-tRNA synthetases). tRNAs cope with the degeneracy of the genetic code in two manners: having more than one tRNA (with a specific anti-codon) for a particular amino acid; and 'wobble' base-pairing, i.e. permitting non-standard base-pairing at the 3rd anti-codon position.
Source: RNAcentral